RNAcentral lists this ribosomal RNA (497 nucleotides) under uncultured bacterium. RNAcentral's name for it is "partial 16S ribosomal RNA". It matches the Rfam family "Bacterial small subunit ribosomal RNA", at positions 28 to 507 of the family's 1533-position model. The record is from RNAcentral.
GACGAACGCUGGCGGCGUGCCUAAUACAUGCAAGUUGAGCGCUGAAGGUUGGUACUUGUACCAACUGGAUGAGCAGCGCACGGGUGAGUAACGCGUGGGGAAUCUGCCUUUGAGCGGGGGACAACAUUUGGAAACGAAUGCUAAUACCGCAUAAAAACUUUAAACACAAGUUUUAAGUUUGAAAGAUGCAAUUGCAUCACUCAAAGAUGAUCCCGCGUUGUAUUAGCUAGUUGGUGAGGUAAAGGCUCACCAAGGCGAUGAUACAUAGCCGACCUGAGAGGGUGAUCGGCCACAUUGGGACUGAGACACGGCCCAAACGCCUACGGGAGGCAGCAGUAGGGAAUCUUCGGCAAUGGACGAAAGUCUGACCGAGCAACGCCGCGGGAGUGAAGAAGGUUUUCGGAUCGUAAAACUCUGUUGGUAGAGAAGAACGUUGGUGAGAGUGGAAAGCUCAUCAAGUGACGGUAACUACCCAGAAAGGGACGGCUAACUACGUG